This is a long non-coding RNA of Brassica oleracea var. oleracea, 737 nucleotides long. RefSeq lists it as uncharacterized. The transcript has 4 exons. The record is from RefSeq and is a predicted model, not a curated record. Lineage: Eukaryota; Viridiplantae; Streptophyta; Magnoliopsida; Brassicales; Brassicaceae.
UCGAUUUCAUGUGUUCUGGGAAAGUGACUGAUAUUAAGAUGGACAAAGGGUGGUGUUAUAUUGCUUGCUCUAAGUGCACUAAAAAACUGCUAUGCACAGACUCAGCCUUGACAUGUGUGCACUGCGACAAUACACAUGCUUUUGGUGCCCUCUGAUAUCGAGUAGAGAUGGGCAUAGCUGAUGAUAGUGCUGAGGGAGUAUUCGUUUGUUUUGAUGGGGUGAUGACAAAGCUCCAUAACCUAAAAGCACAUGAAGCUGGUCAUAUGUUGGCUAGGGCAGGUGUCAAUCCUGAGGAUACUCAGGUCCCCCUUUUAUUUUGGACAUGGAAGGAAAGACGUUCACCUUUCAAGUCCGGGUUAGUGCAUACAAUUUCACGGCAAAUUAUCAGACCUUCACCAUCACACACAUUCUCAACGUGCACCGCUCCCUGAUUUCGUUGAUAAUGGAGGGAACGAGAAGAAUGGGGAUGACAUGCCGAGUGACAAUACAAUUCGUGCUAAGAUUGAAACUGGGGGUAGCACCCCGAAUGGUGAAGAACCAAAGAGGCCUUCAGCUAAAGCAGCUUUCAAGAUGGUCAAGAAGGCACGUCUGUCUUAAUGCUUUGGCAUCAGAUUUACUCUGUUUCAAUAAUUAUUAGACAUCGAUGCUGUUUUAAAAAUUUAAGAUGUGGUGUCUGCUUCUGGUUUCUUAAACUUUCUGAACAAUCUGCGUUUUAUGGAAUUAAGUUUCAAAUUAUG